AUUGAACGCUGGCGGCAUGCCUUACACAUGCAAGUCGAACGGUAGAGUAGCAAUACUUGAGAGUGGCGAACGGGUGAGUAAUAUAUCGGAACGUGCCCAGUCGUGGGGGAUAACGUAGAGAAAUUUACGCUAAUACCGCAUACGAUCUAAGGAUGAAAGCGGGGGAUUCGCAAGAACCUCGCGCGAUUGGAGCGGCUGAUAUCAGAUUAGGUUGUUGGUGAGGUAAAAGCUCACCAAGCCGACGAUCUGUAGCUGGUUUGAGAGAACGACCAGCCACACUGGGACUGAGACACGGCCCAGACUCCUACGGGAGGCAGCAGUGGGGAAUUUUGGGACAAUGGGCGAAAGCCUGAUCCAGCAAUGCCGCGUGCAGGAAGAAGGCCU
This 384-nucleotide ribosomal RNA is filed under the name uncultured bacterium. Its description in RNAcentral is "bacterial SSU rRNA". It matches the Rfam family "Bacterial small subunit ribosomal RNA", at positions 30 to 417 of the family's 1533-position model. The record is from RNAcentral.